RNAcentral lists this transfer RNA (101 nucleotides) under Naumovozyma dairenensis CBS 421. It matches the Rfam family "tRNA". From Rfam's summary of the family: Transfer RNA (tRNA) molecules are approximately 80 nucleotides in length. Their secondary structure includes four short double-helical elements and three loops (D, anti-codon, and T loops). Further hydrogen bonds mediate the characteristic L-shaped molecular structure. tRNAs have two regions of fundamental functional importance: the anti-codon, which is responsible for specific mRNA codon recognition, and the 3' end, to which the tRNAs corresponding amino acid is attached (by aminoacyl-tRNA synthetases). tRNAs cope with the degeneracy of the genetic code in two manners: having more than one tRNA (with a specific anti-codon) for a particular amino acid; and 'wobble' base-pairing, i.e. permitting non-standard base-pairing at the 3rd anti-codon position. The record is from Rfam by way of RNAcentral. Lineage: Eukaryota; Fungi; Ascomycota; Saccharomycetes; Saccharomycetales; Saccharomycetaceae.
UCCUUGUUAGCUCAGUUGGUAGAGCGUUCGGCUUUUAAACAAUAACAUUCGUUUAAACCAAGGAUACCGAAAUGUCAGGGGUUCGAGCCCCCUAUGAGGAG